AACCUUGGCCCCUCUCCCCAG
This 21-nucleotide microRNA is filed under the name Homo sapiens (human). Its description in RNAcentral is "hsa-miR-6813-3p". Lineage: Eukaryota; Metazoa; Chordata; Mammalia; Primates; Hominidae. The record is from miRBase by way of RNAcentral.